GCAAGUGCCUGAGGGGCUAGAGAGAAAGCAAGAGAAGGUGGAUGAGAAGGGAGGCAGGGGAACUGCAAGCCUUCAGUCCUUGUACCUUUUAGGAUGUAGGGACACCCAGAGAACAGCCCUCAAUAAGAUCUGGAAAGAAGAGCUGUCACCACAGACUUAGAAAGUAGGUGUAUUUUUUUACAAAUCCAAAAUUCCUAUAUCCCAUAAUCAUAGGUGUGUGUUGAGCAGGGCAGAUUUCCUUUCCUAAUCUCUGUUUUCUCUUUCAGAAUAAUAGGUUAUUCCCCUGUCCUGAGUUCUGCUUGAAAAACUGAGAGUUCUAGAACUUUGCAAAAGCUCCUCUAUUGUUCCAAGAUGAGCAUUUUUCUGGGGUGAACUGGGCAGAGGUUUGACUGGCAAGCAGCUCUGGGUGUACAUUUCAUCCAAGAGUCUCAUGGUGGUCGAAGGAGAUCCCCAGAUGCAAAAUCAAAGUUGCUUGGAUUUCCAUUUCUUCCCCAUCUAGGAAAAGGGCAAUGGAAUCAAAGCCUUUAAAAAAUGUAGUAAGAGAAAGACUCUCUAAUUGAUCAGAACCUUCUGGCAACCAGCACUUUGGCCCAUCUACUGAAAAAUACUUUAUCAGUGUCUUUAGUAAAGGCCCCCAAGAUGCACAAUACAUUUUUGGUUGUUGAAAUAGAGUGUCUUCUAAGUCAUCAAGUAAAAGAGAAAUUCUGCUCAGAAGACUUUUGGAUAGUACCCAACAUUUGGUGAGGCUUACUAUAUUACAUGCAUUACCUCGCUAAAUCACCACAUUAGAACACUUACAGGUUAUGACAAAACAAGAAGGCCCUUACAAGAUGCCAGCACCUUGAUCUUGAACUUCUCAGACUCCAGAACUGUAAGCCAAUAAAUUUCUGUUCUUCAUAAAUUCCCCAGUCUCAUGUAUUCUGUUAUAGCAACACAAAACAGACUGAGACAGGCUCUCCCCAAAAUUUUAGAUGUUUCUCACUUUCCUGUAGUACAGACAUG
Molecule: long non-coding RNA, 1002 nt
Filed under: Homo sapiens (human)
Lineage: Eukaryota; Metazoa; Chordata; Mammalia; Primates; Hominidae
Description: HSALNT0386109
Source: RNAcentral